UGGUUCUGGCAUNGAUGAAGAAAGCAGCGAAAUGCGAUAAGUAAUGUGAAUUGCAGAAUUCAGUGAAUCAUCGAAUCUUUGAACGCACAUUGCGCCCCUCGGCAUUCCGGGGGGCAUGCCUGUUCGAGCGUCAUUAACAACCCUCAAGCUCUGCUUGGUUCUGGGACGUGCCGGCGUGGCAGUCUUUAAAUCCAGUGGCGGCUCUGGCUGGGUCCAAGCGCAGUAUAUCUCUCGCUUAGGGUCCAGCCAUAGACGACCAUCAAUCUAUGCCUCUGGCACCCACGAUUUGACCUCGGAUCAGGUAGGAAUACCCGCUGA
This 318-nucleotide unclassified non-coding RNA is filed under the name uncultured fungus. Its description in RNAcentral is "partial contains 5.8S ribosomal RNA and internal transcribed spacer 2". The stretch from base 1 to 133 matches the Rfam family "5.8S ribosomal RNA", at positions 22 to 154 of the family's 154-position model. The record is from RNAcentral. Lineage: Eukaryota; Fungi.